RNAcentral lists this non-coding RNA (24 nucleotides) under Arabidopsis thaliana (thale cress). The record is from RNAcentral. Lineage: Eukaryota; Viridiplantae; Streptophyta; Magnoliopsida; Brassicales; Brassicaceae.
UCAUCUUCACUGUAGCGUAACUGG